GUCACAUUAAACGAAUACCAUUCACGUAAGACACAAUGAAGGUCAUUGUACUCACCCUCCUCGUAUGUGCUGUAUUGGCUGUGAGUGUUACAGGAGCACCACGCAAAAGACUUUUAGAAUUCCUCUCGCAUCUGGGUAACGGUGACAAAAAUAAUUGUCCAACAAAGUGUGCUACUGACCCCUGUAAAGUAUGUACCUAUCCCCAGGGUCAUGGUGCCACUUGCAAGAAAGGAAAAUGUUGUACGGCUGUAUGGACAGAUGUUGCUGGGCAUACACUAACUUGUUAAAUCGUAGAAAACUGAAACUAAUUGAAAUAAAUAU
Patella vulgata (common limpet) is the source of this 321-nucleotide long non-coding RNA. RefSeq lists it as uncharacterized. Lineage: Eukaryota; Metazoa; Mollusca; Gastropoda; Patellidae. The record is from RefSeq and is a predicted model, not a curated record. The transcript is spliced from 4 exons.